RNAcentral lists this ribosomal RNA (253 nucleotides) under uncultured bacterium. RNAcentral describes it as "partial 16S ribosomal RNA". It matches the Rfam family "Bacterial small subunit ribosomal RNA", at positions 524 to 776 of the family's 1533-position model. The record is from RNAcentral.
UACGGGGGGGGCAAGCGUUGUUCGGAAUUACUGGGCGUAAAGGGCUCGUAGGUGGCCAACUAAGUCAGACGUGAAAUCCCCAGGCUCAACUUGGGAACUGCGUCUGAUACUGGAUGGCUUGAAUUCGGGAGAGGGAUGCAGAAUUCCAGGUGUAGCGGUGAAAUGCGUAGAUAUCAGGAGGAACACCGGUGGCGAAAGCGCUCAUCUGGCCCAAUACUGACGCUGAGGCGCGAAAGCUAGGGGAGCAAACGGG